GCAAGUCGAACGUGAUCCAUUACUUCGGUUUUGGUGAAAGUGGCGAAAGGGUGAGUAAUGCAUAGAUAACCCACCUUUGACUCUGGGAUAACAGAGAGAAAUUUCUGCUAAUACCAGAUAGGCUCAACAGGUCGCAUGGCCAGUUGAGUAAAGUUGGCCUCUCAACGAUGCUUACAGUUGAAGACGGGUCUAUGUGCUAUCAGCUUGUUGGUGGGGUAACGGCCUACCAAGGCGAUGACGGCUAGCCGACCUGAGAGGGUGACC
RNAcentral lists this ribosomal RNA (264 nucleotides) under uncultured bacterium. Its description in RNAcentral is "partial 16S ribosomal RNA". It matches the Rfam family "Bacterial small subunit ribosomal RNA", at positions 57 to 305 of the family's 1533-position model. The record is from RNAcentral.